RNAcentral lists this non-coding RNA (27 nucleotides) under Callithrix jacchus (white-tufted-ear marmoset). Lineage: Eukaryota; Metazoa; Chordata; Mammalia; Primates; Cebidae. RNAcentral also lists the same sequence under 4 other names. The record is from RNAcentral.
CAAAUUCGUGAAGCGUUCCAUAUUUUU